RNAcentral lists this transfer RNA (76 nucleotides) under Gammaproteobacteria bacterium. RNAcentral's name for it is "tRNA-Arg". It matches the Rfam family "tRNA". From Rfam's summary of the family: Transfer RNA (tRNA) molecules are approximately 80 nucleotides in length. Their secondary structure includes four short double-helical elements and three loops (D, anti-codon, and T loops). Lineage: Bacteria; Pseudomonadati; Pseudomonadota; Gammaproteobacteria. RNAcentral also lists the same sequence under 1 other name. The record is from RNAcentral.
GCCCUUGUAGUUUAAUCGGAUAAAACGGCCGCCUCCUAAGUGGCAGCUCCAGGUUCGAUUCCUGGCAGGGGCACCA